GUCCACACCGUAAACGAUGAUUACUAGGUGUUGGAGGAUUGACCCCUUCAGUGCCGCAGUUAACACAAUAAGUAAUCCACCUGGGGAGUACGACCGCAAGGUUGAAACUCAAAGGAAUUGACGGGGGCCCGCACAAGCAGUGGAGUAUGUGGUUUAAUUCGACGCAACGCGAAGAACCUUACCAAGUCUUGACAUCCGUUGACCGCUGUAGAAAUACAGUUUUCCUUCGGGACAGCGAGACAGGUGGUGCAUGGUUGUCGU
RNAcentral lists this ribosomal RNA (261 nucleotides) under uncultured bacterium. Its description in RNAcentral is "partial 16S ribosomal RNA". It matches the Rfam family "Bacterial small subunit ribosomal RNA", at positions 793 to 1055 of the family's 1533-position model. The record is from RNAcentral.